Protopterus annectens (West African lungfish) is the source of this 579-nucleotide long non-coding RNA. RefSeq lists it as uncharacterized. The transcript is spliced from 3 exons. Lineage: Eukaryota; Metazoa; Chordata; Ceratodontiformes; Protopteridae. The record is from RefSeq and is a predicted model, not a curated record.
GCAGAUAAAUACAGAGUUGGUAGCUGAGUUAGUCAAGACUUUCCUAGAGGUAUACAUCCACAAUGAAUCGCUGGAGUUUGGCUCUUCUUGUGCUUGUUGCACUUGCAGGAAUAAUCAGUGAACAAGAUGGAGUUGAAGUAGAAGCCUGGAAUUGUGCAAAUGGCAGAGGUUAUUGUAGAAAAGUUUGUUUUUCACAUGAGAAACCUUAUUCUUUUCAUGGAUGUCCUCCUCAACACAGGUGCUGCACACCUAAAUGAUUCCCAUCCACGAAGUGAAAAUAUGUUGAUCUGAUUCAUAACUGCAAGAAAGUUGCUUCAGAAUUCAUCUUGCUUAUGCCAUCAGAAGAUAAUUCAUCAUAAAAACAGAUGCUGAGCUUCUCUGCUACCCCAGAAAACAUUAAUGACAAGAAUUCUGAUGAAAAAAUAAAUGAUUUUCCAUAACCUGUUUUCACAAAAUAUUUAUGCUGUUAAUUUUGAUAUCAAAACACAGUUUAGAUAGUGUAAGUUUUGAUGUCAUAAUGCACUAACUUCAUUAAGCUCUUGUUAUUAUCUUUUGCAAAUAAAAAGGCAUUUAACAAUU